GGGUGAUCUGCCCUGCACUUCGGGAUAAGCCUGGGAAACUGGGUCUAAUACCGGAUAGGAGCCAUUUUUAGUGUGAUGGUUGGAAAGUUUUUCGGUGUAGGAUGAGCUCGCGGCCUAUCAGCUUGUUGGUGGGGUAAUGGCCUACCAAGGCGGCGACGGGUAGCCGGCCUGAGAGGGUGGACGGCCACAUUGGGACUGAGAUACGGCCCAG
RNAcentral lists this ribosomal RNA (211 nucleotides) under uncultured Actinomycetales bacterium. RNAcentral describes it as "partial 16S ribosomal RNA". It matches the Rfam family "Bacterial small subunit ribosomal RNA", at positions 119 to 334 of the family's 1533-position model. Lineage: Bacteria; Bacillati; Actinomycetota; Actinomycetes; Actinomycetales. The record is from RNAcentral.